UGCCCAGUAGGAUGAUGCAUACAACAGCCGCUGCCGUUCCUGGUUGUCACAGUGGUUCAAUCCGAAGAAUGAAUCAGGCGAUGUGUCAUAUAUUCCAGGUACAUAACCAUGCUCUACUACUCCCUCCAGUUUGAUAAUUUUAGUCAUUUUGAACAACGACAUGGUCUUCUAAGGGGUCACCUAUUAGUCAAUCGCUUGAAAAAAACCUAAAUUCAUCAAUCAAUUUUGUGAGACGUUGGAUUGAAAUCGUUUUGUAACCAAGGAAAAUUUUCAAGCGAUUGACAGAUAGCAAACCUGGUCUUCUAAAUAUAUGUUUGAUUGUGAUCUUUAAUUAAUAUACAUAUAUAUAAAGUAAUCAAAUAUUUAUUUUUAUUAAAAUAUUCUUUAUGACUCAUCUAUAUAUGUUGUCCUAGAUUUUUCAAACUAAAUAUUUUAAAAUUUAUUAAUAGCCAAAAUUUAAAAAGUUUAACUAUAAUCUUAUUCAAAAUGAUAUUUUUUUUUAGAAAAUGGGAUGAACCCAGCCUCUACAUCCAAUUGGAAGUACACAUCCAUCCAUAUUCAAAAUGAUAUAAUAGUAUGGAACUAGAGGGAGCAGUUUAUCCUAGUAAAUGUAAACUGAAUUCAGCAUUACCUGCAGCAAUCUUGAUUCCAUUAUUAAGCUUGCCUGCAAUGAGGGCAGAGGAGGAGAAUUAGCUAAAUCACGAGGGAAAAACUGAAGGCUAGCUAGCUUGGUCUGAUGUCCUAACAAAUAUUGUACCCACAAAUUUGUUCCUUAUUGGGCCUUUUUGGGCUUCAUUCUAAACCUACAUUUCCAACCCUACCCUAGCAAAUUUUAGUAACGGACAUCGAACCAAAUGGGUGCUAAAAUUUGACCGAGACAAGAAAAAGACAAAUUGGCAACAGAUAAUGUAUACUAUCACUAACUAAAAAUUGUUUUGCUAUUUAUUGGCUCACUAAAAUUUUCUAAUUAUCAAUCAUCCAUUCAUACAUGCAUAACGUAUAGCUUGUAGCCUUGUACUAUUUGUAAUGCUAAUUUAGUAUAGGUUUAUUGUGACAUUCAGUUUUUUUAAUAAUUUCUAUACGAGUUUAUGUACAUAUUUUCCUUUUGUGGCGGUCUAGAUUAGAGUUUGUUGGUUCGGUACAUUCAUUAACCGAACAAAUGAAAACAUAAAGCUUUACACUAACAAUAGCAUGAACGCUACAGAACUAACACACACAUCGUUUUCCUUAUUAAAAUAGAAAGAAGACUUCUAGGUCGUCAUGGUCCUUUUCAUUCUUCCCCUGGAUUUCAUUUGUUACUGGGUCUAAGUUCAUGUGCCGGCCCCUUUCAGCUGAUUAAUUUACUCUAUUCCCUAAUAUCAAAGGCAUCAUUAACCUACAGAUUGAACUCUUAUAGAUGCAUAUACUACAAUUUGGUGUGGAAUGCAUGACAUGACACAUCGCGCAAAUGGAUGAACUAAGUUAUUACUUGACACAAGGUUGAACAGUCAUAUAUGAAAACGAUAUGCUCACAGCUGACUGAACAACUUGAUGGAGCGACUUAACUGCUACCCUCUGCUUUUUUGUCGAUCCCAUUGCUAAUGUUUGUUUGGUACAGUGCAGUUGGUGCCACGAAUGAAUGAAUGGAAGGAAGGGAAAAUUUGCCAUCAGAGAUAAGACCAAAGAAAUUCAAGGGAAGUUUCCUUCAAAAACAAAAUGAAAGGAAGCUAAAGCAAAUUCAAAUACACGAAUUGACCAUUUCAAAUGGUGGAAGUCUGCAUUGUGGUGCUAUAGUCAAGGGGAUGGCCAUUCAGACCAGAGGCGGCGUCUUAUUGUUAGCAGCCUUUGAUUUUCUAUUGCCCCUAGUCUUUAUGAAAACGAACACACUAUUCUCUCAGAAAUAAGUACUAAUGGC
This 1894-nucleotide long non-coding RNA is filed under the name Oryza brachyantha (malo sina). RNAcentral's name for it is "long non-coding RNA (OBRA_LNC000013)". Lineage: Eukaryota; Viridiplantae; Streptophyta; Magnoliopsida; Poales; Poaceae. The record is from RNAcentral.